UGUGCUUUGAUCUGGAAUCUGCUGGAAACAACUCUGCCUGGGGCCUGGCAACCUGGAGAGGGUAGCAACUUCACUGCUUGUGAGCAACGUGCUUCUGGCCAAGUUAUGCAACCUCGUUGGGCCUACUUAUCUCAUUUGUGCAGUGGGAAAAAUUACAUACAACAAUUAUAUAAAUAUCUCAUGGGGUUGUUGUGAGGAUCCAACCAGAUAUUCUACAAAAUAGGCUUAGAGGACUGCCUGGUACAGAGUAAACAAUAAAUAUUAGUUCUCCUUUCUCCAGGGUGGCUUCUUGAUGAAUCUCAACUCUCCUGGCACAGAGAAGAUGGUAAUUAUAGCACACUUUACUAAGACUCUUCAGAAAUGUCAGCGCGUUGCCUGCCGUGGUUUGGUUGCAUGGCUGUUCACAGGAAAAAUACUGUGGGGAUGAAAGUUGAUAAGGACAGAGUGACUCAAAUGAUGUAGAGCCAAGCAGCCCCAGAAGCCUACCUGCCAAGAGCCAGAGUCGGUGCCUACCUGCAUCUUGUUGAUGAGGAAGUUGAUGUCCAGGAUCCCCGCCAAGGUUGGACACCCCUGGCCUGCCACGGAGCACAGGAGCAGGGCAGAGGUAAGGACCAUGGCCAGAAGCAUCUUGACAGCGGACUGGAGCUCGCUUGCAGACACCUUCAAAUCGAGUGGUAUUUAAAGCUCCCUCUCAAACACGGAAAAACCCUGACAUCAAACUGAUACCAAGAGCCCACUUUUUCUCUGUAAGUUGGGGCCACUUUAUACUAACAAACAAAAAAAUCAAACUGAGUCACUUGACAGAGAUGAUGCUGUGCCAGGAAAUAUCAUUCCUCAGAAAAGAUGAUUUUCAAAAAGUUGAGUACUGAAAUGCUGAAGGAAAAGUUAAAGAUCUAAAAACCAAGAAAAAAAAUUCAAAGACAGGGAUUCUGGUUGUGAGAGUUAGAAUACUUUCCAUG
This is a long non-coding RNA of Homo sapiens (human), 959 nucleotides long. RefSeq lists it as uncharacterized. The transcript is spliced from 3 exons. The record is from RefSeq and is a predicted model, not a curated record. NCBI's taxonomy places the organism in Eukaryota, Metazoa, Chordata, Mammalia, Primates, Hominidae.